RNAcentral lists this ribosomal RNA (257 nucleotides) under uncultured bacterium. RNAcentral describes it as "partial 16S ribosomal RNA". It matches the Rfam family "Bacterial small subunit ribosomal RNA", at positions 524 to 776 of the family's 1533-position model. The record is from RNAcentral.
GACGAACCGUGCGAACGUUAUUCGGAAUCACUGGGCUUAAAGCGCGUGUAGGCGGGACGGCACGUCGGUCGCUGAAAGCCCCCCGGCUCAACCGGGGAACGGGCGCCGAUACGACCGCCCUGGAGGAACGUAGGGGGGACCUGGAACUUCCGGUGGAGCGGUGAAAUGCGUUGAGAUCGGAAGGAACGCCCGUGGCGAAAGCGAGGUCCUGGACGUUUUACUGACGCUGAGACGCGAAAGCCAGGGGAGCGAACGGG